UUUUCAGUUUUAAUAUCUCGUGAUGAAUUAUUCACAUGACUAUCAUAAGCUUGGUAGAGAAACAAAUUACUGCCUACGAAUGUCUAAAAUUAUGACACAUGUAGCGUAAGUAUGUUUCAGAAUAGGAAAUUAACAUUGCAGUGAAGAGUUGCUAACGAAGAGUCAGAUUGUGUUGACAAGCAGGACACGACAGUGAAUAAAAUCUAGAGAGAACUGGAUGAGGUUGUCAGUAACACAGGAGGGCAGGAUGACAUUUUGUGAUUAAGCUCUGCUGUUGUUAUGGAAGAUAGCAUCUCAGUAGCAGAUGAAGACAUUAUAUCUUUCUAACGAAAUUAAUACUAGAAUGUUAUGAAAGAUGCAUCAUUUCUGUCCAAGACAACUUUCCCAGUUGAGAAAGAAUACAGAAGCAUGGGACAUAAACUCCGAUAUCAAAAUUCAAUCUAAUUAAAAGAACAAAAACCAAAGUUGUUUGUUGAUGAGGUAGCACUCCUUGAUGCUGCGGCUCUCGGUUCUGAUCGAGACUGAGUUUGACUUCUGCUUCUUGAAGCUG
Saccostrea cuccullata (small rock oyster) is the source of this 550-nucleotide long non-coding RNA. RefSeq lists it as uncharacterized. NCBI's taxonomy places the organism in Eukaryota, Metazoa, Mollusca, Bivalvia, Ostreida, Ostreidae. The record is from RefSeq and is a predicted model, not a curated record. The transcript is spliced from 5 exons.